UGACGGUUGUAGUUCCUCAAAUCCUGAAGCAAACUAGGCUUUAUUAGGAUAGUUUAUGAGUGCUAAUGAGGAAAUUAUUUAGUGGCAUAAAAGAUUAGGACAUCUAUCUUUUCCUGCUGUAAAAAGGUUAUAUCCUAAUUUGUUUUAAGAACUGCAACCCAAAUUUACUAGUUUGUAAUGCUUGUAAAUUUAUUAAACACACAAGAUAAUCGUAUCCCUCAAUAAAUAAUAAAACUUUAGUUUCUUUUAUGACUAUUCAUUCUGAUA
RNAcentral lists this unclassified non-coding RNA (267 nucleotides) under Hevea brasiliensis (rubber tree). The record is from RNAcentral. Lineage: Eukaryota; Viridiplantae; Streptophyta; Magnoliopsida; Malpighiales; Euphorbiaceae.